UGGGAUGUGGCUCAGUGGCAGAACAUUUGCCUGGCAUGCAUGAGACCCUGGGUUUGAUAACCAGCAUCGCAG
This 72-nucleotide transfer RNA is filed under the name Ictidomys tridecemlineatus (thirteen-lined ground squirrel). RNAcentral describes it as "Spermophilus tridecemlineatus (thirteen-lined ground squirrel) tRNA". It matches the Rfam family "tRNA". Rfam says of the family: Transfer RNA (tRNA) molecules are approximately 80 nucleotides in length. Their secondary structure includes four short double-helical elements and three loops (D, anti-codon, and T loops). The record is from Rfam by way of RNAcentral. Lineage: Eukaryota; Metazoa; Chordata; Mammalia; Rodentia; Sciuridae.